Molecule: ribosomal RNA, 497 nt
Filed under: uncultured bacterium
Lineage: Bacteria
Description: partial 16S ribosomal RNA
Rfam family: Bacterial small subunit ribosomal RNA
Source: RNAcentral
GAUGAACGCUGGCGGCGUGCCUAAUACAUGCAAGUCGAGCGAACAGACGAGGAGCUUGCUCCUCUGACGUUAGCGGCGGACGGGUGAGUAACACGUGGAUAACCUACCUAUAAGACUGGGAUAACUUCGGGAAACCGGAGCUAAUACCGGAUAAUAUAUUGAACCGCAUGGUUCAAUAGUGAAAGACGGUUUUGCUGUCACUUAUAGAUGGAUCCGCGCCGCAUUAGCUAGUUGGUAAGGUAACGGCUUACCAAGGCAACGAUGCGUAGCCGACCUGAGAGGGUGAUCGGCCACACUGGAACUGAGACACGGUCCAGACUCCUACGGGAGGCAGCAGUAGGGAAUCUUCCGCAAUGGGCGAAAGCCUGACGGAGCAACGCCGCGUGAGUGAUGAAGGUCUUCGGAUCGUAAAGCUCUGUUAUUAGGGAAGAACAAAUGUGUAAGUAACUAUGGACGUCUUGACGGUACCUAAUCAGAAAGCCACGGCUAACUACGUG